AGUUUGAUCCUGGCUCAGAAUCAACGCUGGCGGCGUGCCUCAGACAUGCAAGUCGAACGAUUAAACUUUCCUUCGGGAAAGAUAUAAAGUGGCGCACGGGUGAGUAACACGUAGGUAAUGUACCUUUGGGUGGGGAAUAACUUAGGGAAACUUAAGCUAAUACCGCAUAAUGCAGCGGCUCCUUCGGGAGACAGUUGUUAAAGAUUUAUCGCCUAAAGAGCAGCCUGCGGCAGAUUAGCUAGUUGGUAAGGUAACGGCUUACCAAGGCUACGAUCUGUAUCCGACCUGAGAGGGUGGUCGGACACACUGACACUGAAUAACGGGUCAGACUCCUACGGGAGGCAGCAGUCGGGAAUUUUGGGCAAUGGGCGAAAGCCUGACCCAGCAACGCCGCGUGAAGGAUGAAGUCUCUCGGGACGUAAACUUCGUAAGAAUAGGAAGAAUAAAUGACGGUACUAUUUGUAAGGUCCGGCUAACUACGUGCCAGCAGCCGCGGUAAUACGUAGGGACCAAGCGUUGUUCGGAUUUACUGGGCGUAAAGGGCGCGUAGGCGGCAAUUCAAGUCAGUUGUGAAAUCUCCGAGCUUAACUCGGAACGGUCAACUGAUACUGCUUUGCUAGAGUACAGAAGGGGCAAUCGGAAUUCUUGGUGUAGCGGUGAAAUGCGUAGAUAUCAAGAGGAACACCUGAGGUGAAGACGGGUUGCUGGGCUGAUACUGACGCUGAGGCGCGAAAGCUAGGGUAGCAAACGGGAUUAGAUACCCCGGUAGUCCUAGCCCUAAACGAUGAAUACUUGGUGUCUAGAGUUUUAUUCUCCGGGUGCCGUCGCUAACGUUUUUAGUAUUCCGCCUGGGGAGUACGCACGCAAGUGUGAAACUCAAAGGAAUUGACGG
Molecule: ribosomal RNA, 892 nt
Filed under: uncultured bacterium
Lineage: Bacteria
Description: bacterial SSU rRNA
Rfam family: Bacterial small subunit ribosomal RNA
Source: RNAcentral